AAAAACAGACAAUUCUAAAAAAAUCUCAUAUUUACUGCUGUUACUUACUUGAAUAUUGGAAUUCUUAUAGGUACACCCACAUCACUAAACUAAAGCUUAAAGACCAUUUUAGAGUUUAUCACAAAUAACAUGAACAAAAGUCCAUUCCAAUUUAGAAUGGAAGAAAAUGAUCAACUCACUCUAGUGAUUUGAUUUAGCAAGAAU
Molecule: long non-coding RNA, 204 nt
Filed under: Lathyrus oleraceus (garden pea)
Lineage: Eukaryota; Viridiplantae; Streptophyta; Magnoliopsida; Fabales; Fabaceae
Description: Pisum sativum (pea) long non-coding RNA (PSAT_LNC039241)
Source: RNAcentral